AGUGAACGCUGGCGGUAGGCCUAACACAUGCAAGUCGAACGGCAGCACAGUAAGAGCUUGCUCUUACGGGUGGCGAGUGGCGGACGGGUGAGGAAUACAUCGGAAUCUACUUUUUCGUGGGGGAUAACGUAGGGAAACUUACGCUAAUACCGCAUACGACCUACGGGUGAAAGCAGGGGAUCUUCGGACCUUGCGCGAUUGAAUGAGCCGAUGUCGGAUUAGCUAGUUGGCGGGGUAAAGGCCCACCAAGGCGACGAUCCGUAGCUGGUCUGAGAGGAUGAUCAGCCACACUGGAACUGAGACACGGUCUAGACUCCUACGGGAGGCAGCAGUGGGGAAUAUUGGACAAUGGGCGCAAGCCUGAUCCAGCCAUACCGCGUGGGUGAAGAAGGCCUUCGGGUUGUAAAGCCCUCUUGUUGGGAAAGAAAAGCAGCAGGUUAAUACCCCGCUGUUCUGACGGUACCCAAAGAAUAAGCACCGGCUAACUUCGU
Molecule: ribosomal RNA, 491 nt
Filed under: uncultured bacterium
Lineage: Bacteria
Description: partial 16S ribosomal RNA
Rfam family: Bacterial small subunit ribosomal RNA
Source: RNAcentral